RNAcentral lists this unclassified non-coding RNA (842 nucleotides) under uncultured fungus. Its description in RNAcentral is "sequence contains 18S rRNA gene, ITS1, 5.8S rRNA gene, ITS2, 28S rRNA gene". The record is from RNAcentral. Lineage: Eukaryota; Fungi.
AAGGCGACGAACCGCUGGCGCCUGCGGCGGGCAUUCGUGCGGUGGCCGCGUUGCUGGCGGCGAGCGAGGCGCCGAUGGCGACGCUUGCCACGCCGAUCCUCAGCCGGGAAGAGCAUGGCGACCCGGCCUGCGUGAAGGUGGUUCGCGACCGCGCCGGGCAUGCCCUGUACUUCUCGCGCGCAGCGGUUCCCUGGCCGCGCGAGGGUUACGAUCGGGUCGAGGGCGCAUCAGGGGACACGCCCUUGUUGCGCCACAUCGGCAUCUACGCGUAUCGCGCGUCCUUCCUGCGUGACUACACGGCGCUGCCGCCAGGCCGUCUCGAACGGAUCGAGGCGCUCGAACAGUUGCGCGUGCUGGAAGCGGGGUACCGCAUCUCGGUCGGAUUGACGCCGGAAACGUUUCCCGGCGGUGUCGAUACCCCGGCCGACCUGGCGCGCGUCGACGCGCUGAUUCGGGCGCGGGCAAUCGACGGCACGGCGAUGGCGUAGCGGGUCGCGAUCAACGCGCCACGGGGAGCGCCGAUGUUCUGGGCGUGCGUGGAAGCGGGCAUAAUCCACCGGCUGCCCCCGGGUCCCCGGUGGCCGGCUGUCGGCUUCACGGCCGACCGCCAGAUCCAGGAGAACGUACGCGCAUGAAUGCCAAGGUCCGCGCCCCGGAAUUUCCGCAGGGAAUGACGUGGGUGAAUCUGGACGAGCCCGCCACCCUCGCCAGUCUGCGUGGGCGCGUGGUGGCGCUGCACUUCUGGCACCACAGCAAUAUCCACGCGCAUCACAUGUUGCGCGACCUGCGCACGCUGGAGAACCGCUACCACGACGGCUUCAGCGUGCUCGGCAUCCACACCC